UAGUGGAGAUACAGUUUUUACUAAAAAUGAAAAUACAGUUUAUAUUUAUAUAAUAGUGGAUAUAUAGUUUUUUACUAUUAGUUUUCAUGAAAAAGCAAAUCUCAAACUCUAUGAUAGAAACAAAUUUUUUUAUUAGAGAAGAUUGCCACCAGGAAGAGAAGAUUUCUUCAAAAGCAAUCGAAAGUUUUUUAACCGUGUUUUUUUGUGGGAGCAAAUAUUUCUACUGGAAAAGAUUGCCACCGGGAGCAUAAGUUUGUUUUCUUGAAGUAAGUUUUUCAAUGAAUUUAAAUUUUUUAAUAGAGUUUUCUUCAAUUUUUGCAUAAUUUUUUUUUUAUAUGGUUUUUUCUUUAAUGGUAGAAACAACCGAAAGUUUAUAAACAGUAUUUUUUUUUGGAAGCAAAGUAUUUCUACUAGAAAAGAUUGCCACCGGGUAGCACGGGUCUUUCCGCUAGUAAUAAAGAAGACAAGCUCAUUGAAUCUUUUUUUUUUUUUUUUUUUAAAUAAAAUAAAAUUCUAUACAAUUUUACUAUCUUCUUAAAAAAAAUACUCUCUUUGGUCCAUUUCAGAUGAGUUCUUUAGAUUUUGUAGUAAAUAAAAAAAUAAAUAAAGUAAAGGUAAAAGAGUAAAAAUAGAAAGAGGACAACGACAUUCCAAAUAGGACAUUAGUUUGUGGACGACAUUCCAAAGGGGAAUAGUAUUUUAUUAGUUAGUGGAAUUGUGUAAUGAUAUAUUUGUAAUUUAAGUUAUAUUAUUUUAAUAUUAAUGUUGCAGCUGUUUGGGUA
Andrographis paniculata is the source of this 782-nucleotide long non-coding RNA. RefSeq lists it as uncharacterized. NCBI's taxonomy places the organism in Eukaryota, Viridiplantae, Streptophyta, Magnoliopsida, Lamiales, Acanthaceae. The record is from RefSeq and is a predicted model, not a curated record. The transcript has 2 exons.